GACGAACGCUGGCGGCGUGCUUAACACAUGCAAGUCGAACGAUGACGACCGAGCUUGCUCGGUCUGAUUAGUGGCGAACGGGUGAGUAACACGUGAGCAACCUGCCCUUCACUCUGGGAUAACUUCGGGAAAUCGGGGCUAAUACCGGAUAUGAGCUCCUGUCGCAUGGCGGGUGUUGGAAAGUUUUUCGGUGAAGGAUGGGCUCGCGGCCUAUCAGUUUGUUGGUGAGGUAGUGGCUCACCAAGGCGAUGACGGGUAGCCGGCCUGAGAGGGCGACCGGCCACACUGGGACUGAGACACGGCCCAGACUCCUACGGGAGGCAGCAGUGGGGAAUAUUGCACAAUGGGCGAAAGCCUGAUGCAGCGACGCCGCGUGAGGGAUGACGGCCUUCGGGUUGUAAACCUCUUUCAGCAGGGAAGAAGCGAAAGUGACGGUACCUGCAGAAGAAGCGCCGGCUAACUACGUG
RNAcentral lists this ribosomal RNA (467 nucleotides) under uncultured bacterium. RNAcentral's name for it is "partial 16S ribosomal RNA". It matches the Rfam family "Bacterial small subunit ribosomal RNA", at positions 28 to 507 of the family's 1533-position model. The record is from RNAcentral.